Molecule: long non-coding RNA, 513 nt
Organism: Oncorhynchus keta (chum salmon)
Lineage: Eukaryota; Metazoa; Chordata; Actinopteri; Salmoniformes; Salmonidae
Exons: 5
Source: RefSeq, a predicted model, not a curated record
UAACCUGUCACACACUGAAGACCUAUAGGUUCACCACUGUACUAACCUGUCACACACUGAAGACCUAUAGGUUCACCACUGUACUAACCUGUCACACACUGAAGACCUAUAGGUUCACCACUGUACUAACCUGUCACACACUGAAGACCUAUAGGUUCACCACUGUACUAACCUGUCACACACUGAAGACCUAUAGGUUCACCACUGUACCAACCUGUCACACUGAAGGCCUAUAGGUUCACCACUGUACUAACCUGUCACACUGAAGGCCUAUAGGUUCACCACUGUACUAACCUGUCACACUGAAGGCCUAUAGGUUCACCACUGUACUAACCUGUCACACUGAAGGCCUAUAGGUUCACCACUGUACUAACCUGUCACACACUGAAGACCUAUAGGUUCACCACUGUAUUAACCUGUCACACUGAAGACCUAUAGGUUCACCACUGUACUAACCUGUCACACUGAAGACCUAUAGGUUCACCACUGUAUUAACCUGUCACACUGAAGACC